GCAGUGGUGUUUCAGUGGUAGAAUUAUCACCUUCCAUGCGGGAGGCCCAGGUUCCAUUCCCGGUCAUUGCA
RNAcentral lists this transfer RNA (71 nucleotides) under Loxodonta africana (African savanna elephant). It matches the Rfam family "tRNA". Rfam says of the family: Transfer RNA (tRNA) molecules are approximately 80 nucleotides in length. Their secondary structure includes four short double-helical elements and three loops (D, anti-codon, and T loops). The record is from Rfam by way of RNAcentral. Lineage: Eukaryota; Metazoa; Chordata; Mammalia; Proboscidea; Elephantidae.